RNAcentral lists this ribosomal RNA (419 nucleotides) under bacterium. Its description in RNAcentral is "partial 16S ribosomal RNA". It matches the Rfam family "Bacterial small subunit ribosomal RNA", at positions 355 to 776 of the family's 1533-position model. The record is from RNAcentral.
UGGGGGAUAUUGCACAAUGGGCGCAAGCCUGAUGCAGCGACGCCGCGUGGGGGAUGAAGGCCUUCGGGUUGUAAACUUCUUUUGCUCUGAACAAGGCGCACUUUGGGGUGUGUUGAGUGUAGGGGUUGAUUAGCGCCGGCUAACUACGUGCCAGCAGCCGCGGUAAUACGUAGGGCGCGAGCGUUGUCCGGAAUUAUUGGGCGUAAAGGGCUUGUAGGUGGCUGGUUGCGUCUGUCGUGAAAGCUCAUGGCUUAACUGUGGGUUUGCGGUGGGGACGGGCUGGCUUGAGUGCAGUAGGGGAGGCUGGAAUUCCUGGUGUAGCGGUGGAAUGCGCAGAUAUCAGGAGGAAUACCGGUGGCGAAGGCGGGUCUCUGGGCUGUUACUGACACUGAGGAGCGAAAGCAUGGGGAGCGAACAGG